UUAAUGAGGCGAACCGGGGGAACUGAAACAUCUAAGUACCCCGAGGAAAAGAAAUCAACCGAGAUUCCCCCAGUAGCGGCGAGCGAACGGGGAGGAGCCCAGAGCCUGAAUCAGUGUGUGUGUUAGUGGAAGCGUCUGGAAAGGCGUGCGAUACAGGGUGACAGCCCCGUACACAAAAAUGCACAUAUUGUGAGCUCGAUGAGUAGGGCGGGACACGUGGUAUCCUGUCUGAAUAUGGGGGGACCAUCCUCCAAGGCUAAAUACUCCUGACUGACCGAUAGUGAACCAGUACCGUGAGGGAAAGGCGAAAAGAACCCCGGCGAGGGGAGUGAAAAAGAACCUGAAACCGUGUACGUACAAGCAGUGGGAGCCUCUUAAUGGGGUGACUGCGUACCUUUUGUAUAAUGGGUCAGCGACUUAUAUUCUGUAGCAAGGUUAACCGAAUAGGGGAGCCGAAGGGAAACCGAGUCUUAACUGGGCGUUAAGUUGCAGGGUAUAGACCCGAAACCCGGUGAUCUAGCCAUGGGCAGGUUGAAGGUUGGGUAACACUAACUGGAGGACCGAACCGACUAAUGUUGAAAAAUUAGCGGAUGACUUGUGGCUGGGGGUGAAAGGCCAAUCAAACCGGGAGAUAGCUGGUUCUCCCCGAAAGCUAUUUAGGUAGCGCCUCGUGAAUUCAUCUCCGGGGGUAGAGCACUGUUUCGGCAAGGGGGUCAUCCCGACUUACCAACCCGAUGCAAACUGCGAAUACCGGAGAAUGUUAUCACGGGAGACACACGGCGGGUGCUAACGUCCGUCGUGAAGAGGGAAACAACCCAGACCGCCAGCUAAGGUCCCAAAGUCAUGGUUAAGUGGGAAACGAUGUGGGAAGGCCCAGACAGCCAGGAUGUUGGCUUAGAAGCAGCCAUCAUUUAAAGAAAGCGUAAUAGCUCACUGGUCGAGUCGGCCUGCGCGGAAGAUGUAACGGGGCUAAACCAUGCACCGAAGCUGCGGCAGCGACACUAUGUGUUGUUGGGUAGGGGAGCGUUCUGUAAGCCUGUGAAGGUGGCCUGUGAGGGUUGCUGGAGGUAUCAGAAGUGCGAAUGCUGACAUAAGUAACGAUAAAGCGGGUGAAAAGCCCGCUCGCCGGAAGACCAAGGGUUCCUGUCCAACGUUAAUCGGGGCAGGGUGAGUCGACCCCUAAGGCGAGGCCGAAAGGCGUAGUCGAUGGGAAACAGGUUAAUAUUCCUGUACUUGGUGUUACUGCGAAGGGGGGACGGAGAAGGCUAUGUUGGCCGGGCGACGGUUGUCCCGGUUUAAGCGUGUAGGCUGGUUUUCCAGGCAAAUCCGGAAAACCAAGGCUGAGGCGUGAUGACGAAGCACUACGGUGCUGAAGCGACAAAUGCCCUGCUUCCAGGAAAAGCCUCUAAGCAUCAGGUAACAUCAAAUCGUACCCCAAACCGACACAGGUGGUCAGGUAGAGAAUACCAAGGCGCUUGAGAGAACUCGGGUGAAGGAACUAGGCAAAAUGGUGCCGUAACUUCGGGAGAAGGCACGCUGAUAUGUAGGUGAAGCGACUUGCUCGUGGAGCUGAAAUCAGUCGAAGAUACCAGCUGGCUGCAACUGUUUAUUAAAAACACAGCACUGUGCAAACACGAAAGUGGACGUAUACGGUGUGACGCCUGCCCGGUGCCGGAAGGUUAAUUGAUGGGGUUAGCGGUAACGCGAAGCUCUUGAUCGAAGCCCCGGUAAACGGCGGCCGUAACUAUAACGGUCCUAAGGUAGCGAAAUUCCUUGUCGGGUAAGUUCCGACCUGCACGAAUGGCGUAAUGAUGGCCAGGCUGUCUCCACCCGAGACUCAGUGAAAUUGAACUCGCUGUGAAGAUGCAGUGUACCCGCGGCAAGACGGAAAGACCCCGUGAACCUUUACUAUAGCUUGACACUGAACAUUGAGCCUUGAUGUGUAGGAUAGGUGGGAGGCUUUGAAGUGUGGACGCCAGUCUGCAUGGAGCCGACCUUGAAAUACCACCCUUUAAUGUUUGAUGUUCUAACGUUGGCCCGUAAUCCGGGUUGCGGACAGUGUCUGGUGGGUAGUUUGACUGGGGCGGUCUCCUCCUAAAGAGUAACGGAGGAGCACGAAGGUUGGCUAAUCCUGGUCGGACAUCAGGAGGUUAGUGCAAUGGCAUAAGCCAGCUUGACUGCGAGCGUGACGGCGCGAGCAGGUGCGAAAGCAGGUCAUAGUGAUCCGGUGGUUCUGAAUGGAAGGGCCAUCGCUCAACGGAUAAAAGGUACUCCGGGGAUAACAGGCUGAUACCGCCCAAGAGUUCAUAUCGACGGCGGUGUUUGGCACCUCGAUGUCGGCUCAUCACAUCCUGGGGCUGAAGUAGGUCCCAAGGGUAUGGCUGUUCGCCAUUUAAAGUGGUACGCGAGCUGGGUUUAGAACGUCGUGAGACAGUUCGGUCCCUAUCUGCCGUGGGCGCUGGAGAACUGAGGGGGGCUGCUCCUAGUACGAGAGGACCGGAGUGGACGCAUCACUGGUGUUCGGGUUGUCAUGCCAAUGGCACUGCCCGGUAGCUAAAUGCGGAAGAGAUAAGUGCUGAAAGCAUCUAAGCACGAAACUUGCCCCGAGAUGAGUUCUCCCUGAGACUUAGAGUCUCCUGAAGGAACGUUGAAGACGACGACGUUGAUAGGCCGGGUGUGUAAGCGCAGCGAUGCGUUGAGCUAACCGGUACUAAUGAACCGUGAGGCUUAACCUU
RNAcentral lists this ribosomal RNA (2735 nucleotides) under Escherichia coli. RNAcentral describes it as "partial 23S ribosomal RNA". It matches the Rfam family "Bacterial large subunit ribosomal RNA". Lineage: Bacteria; Pseudomonadati; Pseudomonadota; Gammaproteobacteria; Enterobacterales; Enterobacteriaceae. The record is from RNAcentral.